UAUUCACAGGUUUGUGAAAAACCUGAACCGGGGGCAGCAAGCGUGGAUUUCUGUCAACAGUCUCCAGAUCAUUGUUGGGGAUUGCUGCUCUCAAACCUCCAGCUCAUCAGGGUUGGAUAUUCAUGAGAUAAGAAAAGUCAAUUCAUCGCCCUGACCAGAGCAAUCCAGGGGACCUAGCUCCUGGGACAUUCGCCAUAUAGCAAUCUUCUCUUUCCCCUCAAACAGCUUCACCAUAUCCAGGUUUCCUCUGUGUCGGAGGAUCUUUACAGGUAGAAUGUUGUUCCAUGUGCACUUCAUGACACUCGUCAGCAGGGACCAGUGAGCUUCCAAUCCCAUAUAUCAUGGACGAGGUGAAAAGCAAGGUCACUGUGCGAUAAUUUGGCGAAGGAUCUUGAAGGCGUCAAUUUGUGAGCUUCGAGACAGCGGAGGAGUUUCACUGAUGGAAUGAUGAGCAGAAUCUUGACCUCUUAUUGUCAUUAAGUCAAAGACACACACACUGGGGGACAGUACAUUGGCUGCUAUGUUCUCCUGACUGAAUUCACAGUGUACUGAAGGAUGUGUGAUAUGGAGAAGAGGCUCCUGGUUUUGUAAUUGCUGAGUAUUUUAUGUGUGGAUGCGUGAUCAUUCUGAGGAAAUGUUGUUCACGUAAUCCAUAUUUUUAAUCUUGUGUUACACAGUAAAACAAUGUAAGUGUGUGA
Long non-coding RNA from Rhincodon typus (whale shark), 698 nucleotides. RefSeq lists it as uncharacterized. Lineage: Eukaryota; Metazoa; Chordata; Chondrichthyes; Orectolobiformes; Rhincodontidae. The record is from RefSeq and is a predicted model, not a curated record. The transcript has 2 exons.